AUUUAUUUCACUUGACUGGUCGGGGUUUAAGAAGUUCGUUUAUUUAAGACCAGUCCAUCUAUAGACAGGAGUUUUGGGAUAAACUCAUCAGUUAUUCGUCCCAUAUCAAACACUCAGUACUUUUGUAUAUGCGUUUCGGUGACACUGAUAGGUGAUUAGAACUCAAUAAUAAUUAUAACGGCACGGUAAUCAUCCUUAUCACACACAUCUUCAAAUAGACUGUUCUAAUGCAAAUUGAAACAUAAGCUCCGCCCG
Molecule: long non-coding RNA, 255 nt
Filed under: Mytilus galloprovincialis (Mediterranean mussel)
Lineage: Eukaryota; Metazoa; Mollusca; Bivalvia; Mytilida; Mytilidae
Source: RNAcentral